This 578-nucleotide ribosomal RNA is filed under the name uncultured Alphaproteobacteria bacterium. Its description in RNAcentral is "bacterial SSU rRNA". It matches the Rfam family "Bacterial small subunit ribosomal RNA", at positions 29 to 654 of the family's 1533-position model. The record is from RNAcentral. Lineage: Bacteria; Pseudomonadati; Pseudomonadota; Alphaproteobacteria.
ACGUCGCUGGCGGCACGCCUUAUACCUGCAGUCGAACGCAGUAGCAAUACUGAGUGGCAACGGGUGAGUAUAAUGUGGGUAUCUGCCUUUUGGUUUGGAAUAACAUGAGGAAACUUAUGCUAAUACCGAAUAAGCCUUCACAGGGGAAAGUUUUAUACGCCGAAAGAUGAGCCCGCACUUGAUUAGUUUGUUGGUGAGGUAAUGGCUCACCAAGACAAUUAUCAAUAACUGGUCUGAGAGGACGAUCAGCCACAUUGGGACUGAGACACGGCCCAGACUCCUACGGGAGGCAGCAGUAAGGAAUCUUGCACAAUGGGGGAAACCCUGAUGCAGCGAUGCCGCGUGAGUGAAGAAGGCCCUUGGGUUGUAAAACUCUUUCGUCGGGGAAGAAAAUGACUGUACCCGAAUAAGAAGGUCCGGCUAACUUCGUGCCAGCAGCCGCGGUAAUACGAAGGGACCUAGCGUAGUUCGGAAUUACUGGGCUUAAAGAGCUCGUAGGUGGUUGAAAAAGUUGAUGGUGAAAUCCCAAGGCUUAACCUUGGAACUGCCAUCAAAACUUUUUAGCUUGAGUGUGAUAC